This 253-nucleotide ribosomal RNA is filed under the name uncultured bacterium. Its description in RNAcentral is "partial 16S ribosomal RNA". It matches the Rfam family "Bacterial small subunit ribosomal RNA", at positions 524 to 776 of the family's 1533-position model. The record is from RNAcentral.
UACGUAGGGACCAAGCGUUGUCCGGAUUUAUUGGGCGUAAAGAGCUCGUAGGCGGCUUGUCGCGUCGAAUGUGAAAUCCUGCGGCUCAACUGCAGGCUUGCAUUCGAUACGGGCAGGCUCGAGUUCGGUAGGGGAGACUGGAAUUCCUGGUGUAGCGGUGAAAUGCGCAGAUAUCAGGAGGAACACCGGUGGCGAAGGCGGGUCUCUGGGCCGAUACUGACGCUGAGGAGCGAAAGCGUGGGGAGCGAACAGG